GGAGAGAUGUCCGAGUGGUUGAAGGAGCACGCUUGGAAAGCGUGUGUACGAGAAAUCGUACCAAGGGUUCGAAUCCCUUUCUCUCCG
RNAcentral lists this transfer RNA (87 nucleotides) under Acidobacteriota bacterium. RNAcentral describes it as "tRNA-Ser". It matches the Rfam family "tRNA". Rfam says of the family: Transfer RNA (tRNA) molecules are approximately 80 nucleotides in length. Their secondary structure includes four short double-helical elements and three loops (D, anti-codon, and T loops). Further hydrogen bonds mediate the characteristic L-shaped molecular structure. tRNAs have two regions of fundamental functional importance: the anti-codon, which is responsible for specific mRNA codon recognition, and the 3' end, to which the tRNAs corresponding amino acid is attached (by aminoacyl-tRNA synthetases). tRNAs cope with the degeneracy of the genetic code in two manners: having more than one tRNA (with a specific anti-codon) for a particular amino acid; and 'wobble' base-pairing, i.e. permitting non-standard base-pairing at the 3rd anti-codon position. Lineage: Bacteria; Pseudomonadati; Acidobacteriota. RNAcentral also lists the same sequence under 1 other name. The record is from RNAcentral.